This 424-nucleotide ribosomal RNA is filed under the name uncultured bacterium. Its description in RNAcentral is "bacterial SSU rRNA". It matches the Rfam family "Bacterial small subunit ribosomal RNA", at positions 28 to 445 of the family's 1533-position model. The record is from RNAcentral.
GACGAACGCUGGCGGCGCGCCUAACACAUGCAAGUCGAACGGAGCUGAGAGGAGCUUGCUUUUCUUAGCUUAGUGGCGAACGGGUGAGUAACGCGUGAGUAACCUGCCCUGGAGUGGGGGACAACAGUUGGAAACGACUGCUAAUACCGCAUAAGCCCACGGCCCGGCAUCGGGCUGAGGGAAAAGGAUUUAUUCGCUUCAGGAUGGACUCGCGUCCAAUUAGCUAGUUGGUGAGGUAACGGCCCACCAAGGCGACGAUUGGUAGCCGGACUGAGAGGUUGAACGGCCACAUUGGGACUGAGACACGGCCCAGACUCCUACGGGAGGCAGCAGUGGGGGAUAUUGCACAAUGGGGGAAACCCUGAUGCAGCGACGCCGCGUGGAGGAAGAAGGUUUUCGGAUUGUAAACUCCUGUCGUUAGGGA